AGAGUUUGAUCCUGGCUCAGAGCGAACGCUGGCGGCAGGCCUAACACAUGCAAGUCGAGCGCCCCGCAAGGGGAGCGGCAGACGGGAGAGUAACACGUGGGAACGUACCCUUUGGUUCGGAACAACCCAGGGAAACUUGGGCUAAUACCGGAUAAGCCCUUACGGGGAAAGGUUCAUCGCCGAAGGAUCGGCCCGCGUCUGAUUAGCUAGUUGGUGGGGUAAUGGCCCACCAAGGCGACGAUCAGUAGCUGGUCUGAGAGGAUGAUCAGCCUCACUGGGACUGAGACACGGCCCAGACUCCUACGGGAGGCAGCAGUGGGGAAUAUUGGACAAUGGGCGCAAGCCUGAUCCAGCCAUGCCGCGUGGGUGAUGAAGGCCCUAGGGUUGUAAAGCCCUUUCGGCGGGGAAGAUAAUGACGGUACCCGCAGAAGAAGCCCCGGCUAACUUCGUGCCAGCAGCCGCGGUA
Molecule: ribosomal RNA, 466 nt
Filed under: uncultured Pseudomonadota bacterium
Lineage: Bacteria; Pseudomonadati; Pseudomonadota
Description: bacterial SSU rRNA
Rfam family: Bacterial small subunit ribosomal RNA
Source: RNAcentral